UACGGAGGGUGCAAGCGUUAAUCGGAAUUACUGGGCGUAAAGCGCGCGUAGGUGGAUACAUAAGUCAGAUGUGAAAGCCCUGGGCUUAACCUAGGAAUUGCAUUUGAAACUGUGUGUCUAGAGUAUAGUAGAGGAAAGCGGAAUUUCCGGUGUAGCGGUGAAAUGCGUAGAUAUUAUGAAGAAUACCAGUGGCGAAGGCGGCCUCCUGGAUCUGUACUGACACUGAGGUGCGAAAGCGUGGGUAGCGAACAGG
This 253-nucleotide ribosomal RNA is filed under the name uncultured bacterium. RNAcentral's name for it is "partial 16S ribosomal RNA". It matches the Rfam family "Bacterial small subunit ribosomal RNA", at positions 524 to 776 of the family's 1533-position model. The record is from RNAcentral.